RNAcentral lists this ribosomal RNA (496 nucleotides) under uncultured bacterium. RNAcentral describes it as "partial 16S ribosomal RNA". It matches the Rfam family "Bacterial small subunit ribosomal RNA", at positions 29 to 507 of the family's 1533-position model. The record is from RNAcentral.
AUGAACGCUGGCGGCGUGCCUAAUACAUGCAAGUCGAGCGAACAGACGAGGAGCUUGCUCCUCUGACGUUAGCGGCGGACGGGUGAGUAACACGUGGAUAACCUACCUAUAAGACUGGGAUAACUUCGGGAAACCGGAGCUAAUACCGGAUAAUAUAUUGAACCGCAUGGUUCAAUAGUGAAAGACGGUUUUGCUGUCACUUAUAGAUGGAUCCGCGCCGCAUUAGCUAGUUGGUAAGGUAACGGCUUACCAAGGCAACGAUGCGUAGCCGACCUGAGAGGGUGAUCGGCCACACUGGAACUGAGACACGGUCCAGACUCCUACGGGAGGCAGCAGUAGGGAAUCUUCCGCAAUGGGCGAAAGCUUGACGGAGCAACGCCGCGUGAGUGAUGAAGGUCUUCGGAUCGUAAAACUCUGUUAUUAGGGAAGAACAAAUGUGUAAGUAAAUAUGCACGUCUUGACGGUACCUAAUCAGAAAGCCACGGCUAACUACGUG